Molecule: non-coding RNA, 93 nt
Filed under: Herbaspirillum sp. Sphag64
Lineage: Bacteria; Pseudomonadati; Pseudomonadota; Betaproteobacteria; Burkholderiales; Oxalobacteraceae
Also listed under: 1 other name
Source: RNAcentral
UUCAACGGCGGGUCUUGGCAGAGAAGCCUUCGGGCUUGCCGAUGGUCGUUGCUUUCUCGGUACUUCCCACUUUGUCAUGCACCCGCCACCUCA